CUUGAAGAUCGGAGUGCUUGCACUCUGUGAAACAAGAUACAGGCUAGCGGCGGACGGGUGAGUAACACGUGGGUAACCUGCCCAAGAGAUCGGGAUAACACCUGGAAACAGAUGCUAAUACCGGAUAACAACAGAUGAUGCCUAUCAACUGUUUAAAAGAUGGUUCUGCUAUCACUCUUGGAUGGACCUGCGGUGCAUUAGCUAGUUGGUAGGGUAACGGCCUACCAAGGCGAUGAUGCAUAGCCGAGUUGAGAGACUGAUCGGCCACAUUGGGACUGAGACACGGCCCAAACUCCUACGGGAGGCAGCAGUAGGGAAUCUUCCACAAUGGACGCAAGUCUGAUGGAGCAACGCCGCGUGAGUGAAGAAGGGUUUCGGCUCGUAAAGCUCUGUUGUUGGUGAAGAAGGACGGGGGUAGUAACUGACCUUUGUUUGACGGUAAUCAAUUAGAAAGUCACGGCUAACUACGUGCCAGCAGCCGCGGUAAUACGUAGGUGGCAAGCGUUGUCCGGAUUUAUUGGGCGUAAAGCGAGUGCAGGCGGUUCGAUAAGUCUGAUGUGAAAGCCUUCGGCUCAACCGGAGAAUUGCAUCAGAAACUGUCGAGCUUGAGUACAGAAGAGGAGAGUGGAACUCCAUGUGUAGCGGUGAAAUGCGUAGAUAUAUGGAAGAACACCGGUGGCGAAGGCGGCUCUCUGGUCUGUUACUGACGC
This 710-nucleotide ribosomal RNA is filed under the name uncultured bacterium. RNAcentral describes it as "bacterial SSU rRNA". It matches the Rfam family "Bacterial small subunit ribosomal RNA", at positions 63 to 746 of the family's 1533-position model. The record is from RNAcentral.